GGGUCAGUAGGUUGGUCGUGCCACCGGUACGUACUGGUCUCACUGAUUCCUUCUUCCUGAAGAACCGUAGUGCCAUUAAUUUGGUGUUGCGGGGAAACAGGACUGUUACUUUGAAAAAAUUAGAGUGUUUAAAGCAAGCUAACGCUUGAAUACAUUAGCAUGGAAUAAUGAAAUAGGACGAUCGAUCCUAUUUUGUUGGUUUCUAGGAUUGACGUA
Molecule: ribosomal RNA, 216 nt
Filed under: Glomeromycotina sp.
Lineage: Eukaryota; Fungi; Glomeromycota
Description: partial small subunit ribosomal RNA
Rfam family: Eukaryotic small subunit ribosomal RNA (bases 40-216)
Source: RNAcentral